Molecule: ribosomal RNA, 527 nt
Filed under: Bifidobacterium longum subsp. infantis
Lineage: Bacteria; Bacillati; Actinomycetota; Actinomycetes; Bifidobacteriales; Bifidobacteriaceae
Description: bacterial SSU rRNA
Rfam family: Bacterial small subunit ribosomal RNA
Source: RNAcentral
CGGGUGGUAAUGCCGGAUGUUCCAGUUGAUCGCAUGGUCUUCUGGGAAAGCUUUCGCGGUAUGGGAUGGGGUCGCGUCCUAUCAGCUUGACGGCGGGGUAACGGCCCACCGUGGCUUCGACGGGUAGCCGGCCUGAGAGGGCGACCGGCCACAUUGGGACUGAGAUACGGCCCAGACUCCUACGGGAGGCAGCAGUGGGGAAUAUUGCACAAUGGGCGCAAGCCUGAUGCAGCGACGCCGCGUGAGGGAUGGAGGCCUUCGGGUUGUAAACCUCUUUUAUCGGGGAGCAAGCGAGAGUGAGUUUACCCGUUGAAUAAGCACCGGCUAACUACGUGCCAGCAGCCGCGGUAAUACGUAGGGUGCAAGCGUUAUCCGGAAUUAUUGGGCGUAAAGGGCUCGUAGGCGGUUCGUCGCGUCCGGUGUGAAAGUCCAUCGCUUAACGGUGGAUCCGCGCCGGGUACGGGCGGGCUUGAGUGCGGUAGGGGAGACUGGAAUUCCCGGUGUAACGGUGGAAUGUGUAGAUAUCG